Phyllostomus discolor (pale spear-nosed bat) is the source of this 749-nucleotide long non-coding RNA. RefSeq lists it as uncharacterized. Lineage: Eukaryota; Metazoa; Chordata; Mammalia; Chiroptera; Phyllostomidae. The transcript has 3 exons. The record is from RefSeq and is a predicted model, not a curated record.
AAUAAUUAAGAAGGAGAUGGUGGGGAGACUAAUGUCAAUAAUUCACUUUUGAACAGGUUGAAUUUGAGAUGCCUAAGAGACAUUUGAAAGGAAACAUCAAAUAGAAAGCUCCAUGGACUGUUGAGGAGCUCAGAAGGAAGAUCUGAGUGGGACGCCUAAGUUUGGGAGUCUUUAGUGUAUAGAAGAUGCAAUGAAAGCCACGGCAAUGGACAAAAUUACUUGAGGAAAUAGUACACACGUCCUAGGCCCCAACACCUCAUUGAAGAAUGAGAGUUCCUGUCUUGCUGUCUUCUAGACCCGUGCCAAGGGUGGAAUUAGAUGGAAUUGCCCCUUGAACCCCCUGGAGCUGAGAAAGCUGCUCCUGGCUCCACACUGUCCGCCGUCUCGGCUCAUUUCUCAAGCCAAACGCUUGGGGAAGCCUACAGUAAUUCCUGCCCACUCUUCACUUUCUCUCCGCGGCAGCUUCACAUCCUCGGCUCUAACAACGCACUAAAAGGUGCGGCAGCCAUCCGACCCCGAGCAGGCCCCCCACCCCGUGGAGUCAGUGGGCGAAUGGCGCUUGGGUGUCCCCAGCCCUGACGGCUCAGGGCCUACACUGGCCCAGUGGCCCUGGGGAGGCUGGGGCCAGUACUCAGGGCAGGGCCACCGCCCCCUUACGCUGGCACCCCACUAGCUGCAAGAGUCUCCUGGGGGAACUGGGUGAUUCCCCUGGGCACCUGCAACAUCCUUUCAGUCUCCUAAAAUAAGAA